Molecule: ribosomal RNA, 309 nt
Filed under: Triticum aestivum (bread wheat)
Lineage: Eukaryota; Viridiplantae; Streptophyta; Magnoliopsida; Poales; Poaceae
Description: partial small subunit ribosomal RNA
Source: RNAcentral
AUGAAGCUCCUAUGCUGGAAUAUUAGGGGAUUCGGCAACCUAAGCCGCCGACGCCAGCUGAUUGACUACAUCCGACAGGAAGACAUCGAUAUUGUUGGCCUUCAAGAGACGGUUCGUCAGGACUUCUCCAUCCAGGAGCUUCAGGGGCUCUCUCGACACCCUUUUGCCUGGAAAUGGCUCCCGGCUUCUAGGUAGUCUGGAGGCAUUCUCUUGGGGGUCAGGGAGGACUUCUUCUCGGUGGAGGAUAUGGACCGCGGGGAGUUCUUCCUGAGUAUGGCCAUCACCGACCGACGUGUGAACCUCAGGUAG